RNAcentral lists this ribosomal RNA (301 nucleotides) under uncultured bacterium. RNAcentral's name for it is "partial 16S ribosomal RNA". It matches the Rfam family "Bacterial small subunit ribosomal RNA", at positions 509 to 807 of the family's 1533-position model. The record is from RNAcentral.
CAGUCGCCGCGGGAAUACGGAGGGGGCUAGCGUUGUUCGGAAUUACUGGGCGUAAAGCGCACGUAGGCGGCUUGGUAAGUUAGAGGUGAAAGCCCGGGGCUCAACCCCGGAACUGCAUCCGAGACUGGCAGGCUUGAGACCGGGAGAGGAGGGUGGAAUACCCAGUGUAGAGGUGAAAUUCGUAGAUAUUGGAUGGAACACCGGUGGCGAAAGCGGCUCUCUGGCCCGGAUCUGACGCUGAGGCGCGAAAGCGUGGGGAGCAAACAGGAUUAGAUACCCCCGUAGUCCCUGUCUCUUAUAC